GUGGGGAAUAUUGGGCAAUGGGCGAAAGCCUGACCCAGCAACGCCGCGUGAAGGAAGAAGGUUUUCGGAUCGUAAACUUCUAUCCUUGGUGAAGAUAAUGACGGUAGCCAAGAAGGAAGCCCCGGCUAACUACGUGCCAGCAGCCGCGGUAAUACGUAGGGGGCAAGCGUUGUCCGGAAUGAUUGGGCGUAAAGGGCGCGUAGGCGGCCCGGUAAGUCUGAAGUGAAAGUCCUGCUUUUAAGGUGGGAAUUGCUUUGGAUACUGUCGGGCUUGAGUGCAGGAGAGGUAAGUGGAAUUCCUAGUGUAGCGGUGAAAUGCGUAGAUAUUAGGAGGAACACCAGUGGCGAAGGCGGCUUACUGGACUGUAACUGACGUUGAGGCUCGAAAGCGUGGGGAGCAAACAGGAUUAGAAACCCCGGUAGUCC
Molecule: ribosomal RNA, 425 nt
Filed under: uncultured bacterium
Lineage: Bacteria
Description: partial 16S ribosomal RNA
Rfam family: Bacterial small subunit ribosomal RNA
Source: RNAcentral